UACGUAGGGGGCAAGCGUUGUCCGGAAUCACUGGGCGUAAAGCGUGCGUAGGUGGUUGUGUAAGUCUGGAGUGAAAGUCCAAGGCUCAACCUUGGGAUUGCUCUGGAAACUGCAUGACUUGAGUGCUGGAGAGGCAAGGGGAAUUCCACGUGUAGCGGUGAAAUGCGUAGAUAUGUGGAGGAAUACCAGUGGCGAAGGCGCCUUGCUGGACAGAAACUGACGCUGAGCCACGAAAGCAUGGGGAG
RNAcentral lists this ribosomal RNA (245 nucleotides) under uncultured bacterium. RNAcentral's name for it is "partial 16S ribosomal RNA". It matches the Rfam family "Bacterial small subunit ribosomal RNA", at positions 524 to 768 of the family's 1533-position model. The record is from RNAcentral.